This is a long non-coding RNA of Hypanus sabinus (Atlantic stingray), 2790 nucleotides long. RefSeq lists it as uncharacterized. The transcript is spliced from 3 exons. The record is from RefSeq and is a predicted model, not a curated record. Lineage: Eukaryota; Metazoa; Chordata; Chondrichthyes; Myliobatiformes; Dasyatidae.
ACACGGUAGUCGCUGUCCGCAGAAGUCACGGAGGCUGGCGGUUUGGACAGCUGUGUGCGGUGCCAAAACAGAUGGGGGAGAUUUUGAACGAUUUCUUUUCAGCGGUAUUCACUUAGGAGAAGGAUAUUGAAUUGUAUAAGGUCGGCUAACUAUGGAGAAUUCUAAAAAAAAAGAAAAGUGACUGAAGAAAACAGAACGUUUAAUGAUACGUGGGCAGAUUCAUUUGCUUUCACUGCUGAUGAGACUGGUUUACCGGUAUGCUUAAUAUGCAAUGAGAAACUAGCAAACAACAAAAAAUCAAAUGUCGCAAGACAUUUCCAGAAUAAACACGCAGCCUUUGCUCAAAAAUAUCCGGAUGGAGAUGAGAGAAAAAAAGCCAUUUCGGAACUGAUGCGGAAGGUUGAUCCGAGCAAAAAUCAUUUCAAGAAGUGGAUGAUGUCUGGAAAAUCAACGACAUAUGCUAGUUUUGUUGCCGCUCAGGAAAUAGUCAGGCAUGGGAAGCAGUUUACAGAUGUUGAAUAUAUAAAAGAAUCUUUCAUUAAGAUUUCUGAACAUCUAUUCACGGACUAAAAACAAGAGUGAAAUUGUGCAGAAAAUCAGGGAUAUGCCCCUCUCUGCAAAGACUGUCAAAAACAGAACCAUAAAAAUGGCAGAAGACAUCAGAAGACAGUAAAUUAAAGACAUCAAUUCAGCUGUGGCCUACUCGAUUGCCUGUAACGAGUCUAAAGACAAAGGUGAUAUUGAGCAAAUAGCGCUGUUCUGCCGGUAUGUAAACUCUGCCAGGCCACAGGAAGAAAUGAUUGAGUUGAUUCCUCUAAAAGGCCAAAUACGGGGGGAGGACAUCUGUGAGGCUGUCUUGAAUUGUUUAAGAGCCAAAGCAAUAAAGACCACCCACCUGGUGUCAGUAACUACUGAUGGGGCACCAAGUAUGACAGGAGAGCACAAGGGAUUUGUGGCUUUACUGCAGAAGUCGCUGGACAGAAAGCUGCUGACUUUUCACUGCAUCAUGCACCAAGAGGCACUGUGCGCUCAAACAUUUCCUCCGGAAUGCACAGAAGUAAUAGAUGUUGUCAUUCAGAUUGUCAAUAAAAUAAUGGCAAAAAGUUUAAAUCACCGUCAAUUCCGUUUGUUACUGGACGAGCUGGAAAGCGCAUAUUCUGAUCUCCUGCUGCACAACAAAAUCCGGUGGUUGUCAAGUGGGGAGGUGCUGAAACGCUUUGUCGCGUGUCUGGAAGAAGUGAAAACUUUCCUGGGCAGCAAAGGUCUCACCUUUCCUGAGCUGGAACAGCCAGAGUGCCUGUAAAAGCUACACUUCAUGGUAGACAUGACAGCGCACCUGAACACGCUGAACACAGCUCUUCAGGGGAAAGGAUGCACAGCCCUGCACAUGUUGGAGGAUGUUUUGGCAUUCCAGCGCAAGUUGACAGUGCUUGCCAGAGAUUUACAGAAAGGCACAUUGUCUCACUUCCCCAAUUUGAGAGAGUUCAAACAAGCUCACGACAUGAUAAAUUCAAAGUAUUUACAUUCUGCAGUCAUCGCAAUGCAAACAUCGUUUGGGAAAUGCUUCUGUGAGGUCAGAGAGGUAAAAAACACAUUAUCCUUCCCGGUCACUCCCCUAAGCAUCGAUCCAUCCCACUGAAUACAACUGCAUUGGUAGGUGUGAGUCAACCUGAUAUUGAGAUGAAACUGGCCGACAUAGCCGACAAAGACAUAUGGGUGUCCAAGUUUAGACGCUUGACAGCAGACCUUGAAGAUGUUGCCCAUCAGAAGGCCGUUCUUGCUCAGAAUCACAAAUGGAGUGAUAUUGAAAACCUUCCCAAAUCGGACAAAGUUGUGUUCGAAACAAGGAAUGCUAUCCCCGACACUUAUGUAAACAUUAAAAAGUAUGCACUUGGCAUCCUGUCGAUCUUUGGAUCCACAUAUGUGUGUGAGCAGGUGUUCUCCAACAUGAACUUUAUUAAAAACAAACAUCGCGCACGCCUCACAGAUGACAGCUUGCGAUCCUGUGUAAAGAUGAAGGUGACGUCAUACAGCCCUGAUGUGCAGACGCAGUGCGCUGAGGUCCAGGAGAAGAAAUUCCAUUAACCAAGUUGACAGCUGGCUGACGUUAUUUUUGGUUUGCUGCUGGAGGACAAUUUAAGUUCGGCGUUUUUCAUAAAUACAAGAAGGACUCAAAUAGACAUUGAUUAUUUUACUUAAAAGUAAACUUCAACCCAACGUCUUUUUUUCGGAGUUCAAAAUGUUUUUGUUGCAUGCAGAAAUGUAAUUUCGUUUUCUCUGCAGGAGUUCAUCAAUUUCAUAAAUGCAAUACAUUAUAGUUUGUUUAUACAUAGCAUAAAGGCAAAAAAAAACGUUGUAUGCAGUGUUAUUUCAUUUUAAAUGUCAAACGGGUUUUGUGGCUCCCAGUGUUUUCUUUUCUAUGGGAGACGGGUCCAAAUGACUCUUUCAGUGGUAAAGGUUGCCGACCCCUGGUUUAGGGGAUGAGCAUAUUAAAGGGUGGCAGUGUAUUUUGAUAAACAAUGGGAAGAUUUGUGAGAAAUGAGAUGUUUCAGAGUACCACAGAUGAUGACUUUACAUUGGCUGAACUGAAAUUUGCUGUCAAUUAUGCGAGUACGACAGCCCCAGGACAAGAUAUAGUUCAGUAUCAUAUGCUCGAGCAUCUGCCUGGGACCGUCCUAAAGAAGUUGCUUGAGUUUGAUCAUGUCUGGAAGCAAGGACUGCUCCUAGGAGAAUGGGAAAGGACUGUGGUGUUGCCUAUUAUUAAACUUGGGAAGUAUCAACGCUGCCAAA